CAGUCGCCGCGGUAAAACGGAGGGUGCAAGCGUUAAUCGGAAUUACUGGGCGUAAAGCGCACGCAGGCGGUCUGACAAGUCAGAUGUGAAAUCCCCGGGCUUAACCUGGGAACUGCAUUUGAAACUGUCAGACUGGAGUCUUGUAGAGGGGGGUAGAAUUCCAGGUGUAGCGGUGAAAUGCGUAGAGAUCUGGAGGAAUACCGGUGGCGAAGGCGGCCCCCUGGACAAAGACUGACGCUCAGGUGCGAAAGCGUGGGGAGCAAACAGGAUUAGAGACCCGCGUAGUCCCUGUCUCUUAUAC
Molecule: ribosomal RNA, 301 nt
Filed under: uncultured bacterium
Lineage: Bacteria
Description: partial 16S ribosomal RNA
Rfam family: Bacterial small subunit ribosomal RNA
Source: RNAcentral